RNAcentral lists this ribosomal RNA (888 nucleotides) under uncultured bacterium. RNAcentral's name for it is "bacterial SSU rRNA". It matches the Rfam family "Bacterial small subunit ribosomal RNA", at positions 56 to 928 of the family's 1533-position model. The record is from RNAcentral.
UGCAAGUAGAACGCUGAAGGAGGAGCUUGCUUCUCUGGAUGAGUUGCGAACGGGUGAGUAACGCGUAGGUAACCUGCCUGGUAGCGGGGGAUAACUAUUGGAAACGAUAGCUAAUACCGCAUAAUAGUAGAUGUUGCAUGACAUUUGCUUAAAAGGUGCAAUUGCAUCACUACCAGAUGGACCUGCGUUGUAUUAGCUAGUUGGUGGGGUAACGGCUCACCAAGGCGACGAUACAUAGCCGACCUGAGAGGGUGAUCGGCCACACUGGGACUGAGACACGGCCCAGACUCCGACGGGAGGCAGCAGUAGGGAAUCUUCGGCAAUGGACGGAAGUCUGACCGAGCAACGCCGCGUGAGUGAAGAAGGUUUUCGGAUCGUAAAGCUCUGUUGUAAGAGAAGAACGAGUGUGAGAGUGGAAAGUUCACACUGUGACGGUAUCUUACCAGGAAGGGACGGCUAACUACGUGCCAGCAGCCGCGGUAAUACGUAGGUCCCGAGCGUUGUCCGGAUUUAUUGGGCGUAAAGCGAGCGCAGGCGGUUAGAUAAGUCUGAAGUUAAAGGCUGUGGCUUAACCAUAGUACGCUUUGGAAACUGUUUAACUUGAGUGCAAGAGGGGAGAGUGGAAUUCCAUGUGUAGCGGUGAAAUGCGUAGAUAUAUGGAGGAACACCGGUGGCGAAAGCGGCUCUCUGGCUUGUAACUGACGCUGAGGCUCGAAAGCGUGGGGAGCAAACAGGAUUAGAUACCCUGGUAGUCCACGCCGUAAACGAUGAGUGCUAGGUGUUAGACCCUUUCCGGGGUUUAGUGCCGCAGCUAACGCAUUAAGCACUCCGCCUGGGGAGUACGACCGCAAGGUUGAAACUCAAAGGAAUUGACGGGGGCCCGCACAA